This 468-nucleotide ribosomal RNA is filed under the name uncultured bacterium. RNAcentral describes it as "partial 16S ribosomal RNA". It matches the Rfam family "Bacterial small subunit ribosomal RNA", at positions 28 to 507 of the family's 1533-position model. The record is from RNAcentral.
GACGAACGCUGGCGGCGUGCUUAACACAUGCAAGUCGAACGGAAAGGCCGUGCUGUUGUGCGGUGCUCGAGUGGCGAACGGGUGAGUAACACGUGAGCAACCUGCCCUUGUCUUUGGGAUAACUUCAGGAAACUGGGGCUAAUACCGGACAGGAGCUCCUGUUGCGUGGAGGUCGGGGGAAAGUCUCGGCGGUUGGGGAUGGACUCGCGGCUUAACAGUUUGUUGGUUGGGUAGUGGCUUACCAAGGCGGAGACGGAUAACCGGCCUGAGAGGGUGGACGGGCACCUUGGGACUUAGGUAGGGACCAGUCGCCUACGGGAGGCAACAGGGGGGAAUAUUGCACAGUGGGCGGAAGCCUGAUGCAGCAACUCUGGGUGCGGAAAGACGGCCUUCGGGUUGUAAAAAGCUUUCGCCUGUGACGAAGCGUGAGUGACGGUAAUGGAUAAAGAAGCACCGGCUAACUACGUG